Molecule: ribosomal RNA, 371 nt
Filed under: uncultured organism
Description: bacterial SSU rRNA
Rfam family: Bacterial small subunit ribosomal RNA
Source: RNAcentral
CGUAGGGUCCGAGCGUUGUCCGGAAUUAUUGGGCGUAAAGGGCUCGUAGGCGGUUGGUCACGUCGGGAGUGAAAACUCAGGGCUCAACCCUGAGCGUGCUUCCGAUACGGGCCGACUAGAGGUAUGCAGGGGAGAACGGAAUCCUGGUGUAGCGGUGGAAUGCGCAGAUAUCAGGAGGAACACCGGUGGCGAAGGCGGUUCUCUGGGCAUUACCUGACGCUGAGGAGCGAAAGCAUGGGGAGCGAACAGGAUUAGAUACCCUGGUAGUCCAUGCCGUAAACGUUGGGCGCUAGGUGUGGGGUCCUUCCACGGACUCCGUGCCGCAGCUAACGCAUUAAGCGCCCCGCCUGGGGAGUACGGCCGCAAGGCUA